AUUCUUUUAGUAUUAACAAGUACAACUGACUUCCAAUCAGUUAGUUUUGGUCCAACCCAAAAAAGAAUA
This 69-nucleotide transfer RNA is filed under the name Tragelaphus strepsiceros (greater kudu). RNAcentral describes it as "tRNA-Gly". It matches the Rfam family "tRNA". Rfam says of the family: Transfer RNA (tRNA) molecules are approximately 80 nucleotides in length. The record is from RNAcentral. Lineage: Eukaryota; Metazoa; Chordata; Mammalia; Artiodactyla; Bovidae.